NAACUAGUCAAAACAGGCAAAAUGCUACUAUAGUAUGUCCCCCCGAAACUAAGUGAGCUACUUCAAAACAGCUAUUAGAGCCAACCCAUCUCUGUUGCAAAAGAGUGGGACGAUUUUCAAGUAGAGGUGACAAGCCUAUCGAACUUAGAGAUAGCUGGUUGUUAGGUAAAAGAAUAUAAGUUCUAUCUUAAGUUUUAUGCCGUGCCCAAAUCACAAAAUUAAACUUAAAGGCUAUUCAAAUAAGGUACAGCUUAUUUGACUCAGGAUACAACCUAAAAGAUAGGGUAACCUACAUAUUUUGAACAAGUCGGCCUGAAGGCAGCCAUCUUUAAGAAAGCGUCAAAGCUUAUUCAUAUUUCCAACCCAAUAUUAACCAAAUUACUAAACCCAUCUUACCCCACCAAACAACUUUAUAUGUAUAUAAAAAAUAUUAUGUUAAUACUAGUAAUAAGAGACA
Molecule: ribosomal RNA, 457 nt
Filed under: Acanthixalus spinosus (African wart frog)
Lineage: Eukaryota; Metazoa; Chordata; Amphibia; Anura; Hyperoliidae
Description: partial 16S ribosomal RNA
Rfam family: Bacterial large subunit ribosomal RNA
Source: RNAcentral